RNAcentral lists this long non-coding RNA (2004 nucleotides) under Homo sapiens (human). Its description in RNAcentral is "HSALNT0386655". Lineage: Eukaryota; Metazoa; Chordata; Mammalia; Primates; Hominidae. The record is from RNAcentral.
UUGAGGCCGGCCGCUUGGUGGCGCCUGUGGCCGCAGGGAUUUGACUGGGCCUUCUCUAGCUUUCCCCGGUUUGCUGCACUUGACGCUGCAGGGCGGGCGGGGUAAAGAAGGGAGCGAGCCCUUCUCAAGCUUGGAAAGUUUCCAGACUGCUGGGCCAGCCUCCUCCCCAGAGGGAAACUGAGGUCCGAUUGAGGUUUCUCCAAGACCGCCCACUCCUGCUCCUGUCCCCAAACCCCUUUCUGCCUAGGGUUCCUGGAAGCCAAGGAAACAGAACGAACUGUUCCCUGGGUGGGCGAGCCACUGCAGAGUACAAAGCUUUCAGGCCGCCUGCCUCAUUAGCACUAAUGGCUGCUCCCUUCCGCCCUGUGUCGUCAGGACUGUCUAUGCCUGGUCUCAUCAGCACAAGGCUGGGUAACAGCUGAAGAAGUCCCAGGAGUCCUCCCAUGUCCUCUCAGCAACCCAGGCUGGAGCCUACUCCUUGGUGUUGGCAAAGGAAACCGUCUUUGAAGGGCAACUGUUUGAAAAUGCUGCAGAAACAUGAGAAAUGUUCAUGAAGUGACCCUGUGGAGGCUUCCGGUCACAGGAUCAUGUGAGCGCCACGAUCACCCCAGGGGUGGAGCAGAUGCUAAGUGUUCACCACACCCAAUUCUCUUCCUGGACACACAGGAAGAUGACAUUUCCAGUGACAUGCCCCACCUCUAGGCCCUAGUCUUUUUUUUAUUUAAAGGUCUGAGUCUUGUUCUGUCACCCAGGCUGGAGUGCAGUGCUGUGAUCAUGACUCACUGCAGCCUCAACCUCCUGUGCUCAAACAAUCCUCCCACCUCAGCCUCCCUAAUAGCUGAUGUCAUAUAGGCAUGAGCCAGUGUGCCUGGCUCAGGCCCUACCCUUAAAAGCAUCCCACCUGAUUCACCAGCCCCCUUCUCUCUCUCAGUAAACUUGGAAACCACGCAUUCCAGAUGGUAUAAUUUACAGCAUGAUGGAAAAAGCCAGCUCUCCAUGGGAAGCUGGCCAGUCUUCAUUGGAGUACAUUUUUAUUGCAUGAAGCCAAUGAGACUUGAUAUUGUUUAACUCUGUGGUUUCCAAAGUGCGGUCCUUUUGAAGUAUCCAUAAAGUCUACACUAGGUUCACGGUAAUAUUAAGAUGUUAUUUGUCAGCUGGGCACGGUGGCUCACGCCUAUAAUCUCAGCACUUUGGGAGGCCAAGGCAAAUGGAUAAUGAGGUCAGGAGUUUCAGACCAGCCUGGCCAACAUGGUGAAACCCAGUCUCUACUAAAAAUACAAAAAUUACCUGGGUGUGGUGAUGCAUGCCUGUAAUCCCAGCUACUCAGGAGGAGGCUGAGGCAGGAGAAUUGCUUGAAUCCGGGAGGCAGAGAUUGCAGUGAGCUGAAAUCUCACCACUGCACUCCAGCCUGGGUGAUGGAGCAAGACACUGUCUCAAAAAAAAAAAAAAAGAUAUUAUUUGUCUUUCAUGAGUGUACAGUGGGAUUUUCCAGAGGCUACAUGACAUGUGUUUUUUUAUUUUGUUUUUUAUACUGACAGAGGGGUCUUGCUAUGUUGCCCAGACUGGUCUUCCAACUCCUGGCCUCAAGUGAUCCUCCCGCCUUCACCUCCCAAAGUGCUGGGAUUAUAGGUGUGAGCCACUGCGCCUGGCUGUUUGUGACAUGUGAUGUUGAAACAGGUUGAGUAUAGAAGCAGAUAUGGGAAUUAAACCAGAAUAUUAAACCAGACAUUGAAGAGAUUUGCAAAAAAUACAAAACAAUACCACUGUUUUCACUUUCUUUUUGGUUUGGAAAAAUGUAGUUAUUUUUCAUUAAAAGUAUGUUGUGUUGGCUGGGCACAGUGGCUCAUGCCUGUAAUCUCAACGCUGGGAGACUGAGGUGGGAGGAUCACUUGAGAUCAGGAGUUCGAGACCAGCCUGACCAACAUAAUGAAACCCCAUCUCUACUAACAAUAUAAAAAUUAGCUGGGCUGGCUGAGCGCGGUGGCUCACGCCUGUAAUCCCAGC